AUGUCUCCAGCUCGACCUCGCGGCCGGGCGCCCCUUUCGGGUCACUACCUGUGGGGUGUCGGAGUCUGGAGGACAGCGCUGCCAUCCCGUCGGAAAGGAAGCCCCAACCAAAGUCCAGUCCAGGACCCCCAGCUCAGUCCUCACUUGUGUUCCAUGAGGUGUAGGAACAGUGCUUCGGGGAGCUGUGCCCUGCCUCUCAUGCAAGAUGACUGUGUUAGUAAUUGCCGUUUUAUGUCACGUGGUAUUUAUUGUUAUCUAGCUUUGCAGCUUGAAAAUUAGGGCAAGGUCUACAUGUACGAGUUGAUUUGAGUGACUUGUCAGGUUUAUUUUUAAAAUUGAAGGAAUGAACUGGAUAAUCUGAUACAGCUAUAUCUAUAUCCAUAUAACCUUUUCCUGUCCUUUUUUGGGAGGGGGGACCGACAAUUGGCGAUCCCAAAGAUUAAGCAAUUAGCUUUUCUUUGCUUCUGUUUCUUUUUCUUAUUUCUUCUUUUCAUUUAGAAGUGAACUUUUACUUUGGCUAUGGGCAUCAAUGUUUGCAUUUUUUUCUUUAUAUGGUGUGAGGUUAUCUAGUGAAACGCUGUUUCUCAGGCCACAAAUGUUAUUAUCAAGGAAAAGUAAGGCUACUUAGUUCCUGUCAUGUUGGCUCCAGCCCUCACCCCAAACUUGUAAACCAUGAAUCUUCAAAAUAUAUGUGAGACUUCAGGGAAAGGGUGAGAUAAAUUUUGUUAGUACCAGAAAUGGAAUGUCCUUUUUAAUAAUGAGUUAAAACUCAUUCCUACUGAGAUACGAGGAAAAGUUAACUCUGGAGGAAAAUUAAAGACCAGCUUUUAGUGUGUGUAGGUGUAUGCUUUCUUAGAUUUGCUGUACUAAAUAAUUCAUGAGGAGUGUUGAUUUUGGGGCACAUUUUCAUUGAGAUGCCUUCAAUGAACUGGGCCUUAAAUGUGGGAAACAGUGUAGCCCUUGGCCCUGUGAAGGUUUUAUUCUAGUUCAAAGAAGGAUUUUACAUUAAUAGUGACAAGGGUGAUAUGAGACUAUGGAGCAGGAUAAGUUGAGGAGGUCCAGGAAAAUAUCUGAAAAGAGAUUUUGAAACUAAAGGAUGAGUUCUGUGUAGCUAACCAAGGAGUUUGGCUCUACAGUAAGAUUGUGGAGGAGAUUUGAGACCAUAUUUCAUGUGCACAGUCCCUCAGGUGGUACAAAGCCUGGUAUGUUCUAGCAGCAGAAAAAAGACAGGGAAAGCUAAACUAAAGAAGAUAAAGCAGGGAGUGAAUGACUAGGUUGGACAGGAGGGCAGGGCCUUGAAAGUCAUGGUAAACUCUACAGUGUAUUUUGUGAGGUCUUUGGGAAGCCACCGUAUCAUAGUUUUAAGGGUGGGAUUGACGUGUUUACUUUUGUAAUUUAAACAAAACAUUGCUCUUGGAUUGAAUGUAGACUUUAGGAUAGACAAAAAUGCAGAGCCCAUGUAAGAGAUUGAGUAAAUUCAGGACUUGCAUGAUAGUAGGCAGGUAUUAAUGAUUAUCAAAUCAGAAAAGUUGGAAGUGUGUGUGGAAGGAGGUAGAAUUGAGAGGAUUUGGUGACAUGCAUAUUUUUGUAGGAGGGAGCAGAGGUCAGCAGUUGAUGGCCUAUGUGACAAAUUGGGUCCAGUUUUGGCUUUUACACAAAACUUUAUUGGAACCCAUUUUUUAUGUGUAGUUUGUGGCUGUUUCUGUACUACCAUCAUAUAGUAAAGUAGAGGUGACAGAGAUCAUGUAGCACAUAAAUGUGAAGACAUUUCCUAUUCGGUCUUCUGCAAAAAAAGUUUGUCAGCCCAGAGUAUAAAAAGCACUUAGUGUUUAUCAUGUGCUGGGGUGGUUGCUGGAUAUGAAGGUCUGAAAAAAUUGGGCACAGACUUACAUUUCCCGGAUUUAUAUUAUAGUUGGAGAGAGCAAGAUAAAGUCACCCCCCCCCCAAAAUAAAGAAGCAUCACAACUUUUAAAGGGCAGUGGAGGAAAUGUAGAAAGUGGUAGAAGUGAUUUUUACAAUACAAGAAGAAAAAUUAUCUUUUUAUGAAGUGAGAGGAGCCAGGAGAAAUCCCCAUGGCCUGUUGUCUGAAAGGUGGCUUACAACCCACUAUGUUGCUUAUUAUAAAUAAAUGUGUAAAUGUUGUUACCUUGGAUUUCCUGCUGGAAGAGGAAGAAAAGGCUGACAGAGUGUGAGCAUCUUCAUUGCUGCCCUUGGGGACCUGGGACAUCUGUCUGUGCAUGACUUCUAGAGGGCACUGCUAUGAGAGGUGUGUUCCACUGCAGACCCCAAGACUGCGCCUACCCAGCAGGGCUCUUCCAGCGCCACCUGUGCCAUCUUUUGUGAUUCCUACUGAAAAUACCUGUGUCUGUAUAAAUUUAAAUUUAAAUUAGUUAGGAUUCCGUGAAAUUAAAGAUUCAGUGCAUCGGUCACCUUAGGCACAUUUCUCAGUCUCAGCAGCUACACAUGGCUACCUUUUGGGAAAGCGUAGGCAGAAACUCCCGUCAUCACAGAGAGAUGUGAUAGACAGCACAACUCUAGAGUUUAGAAAUUUAAAGGCCAUAAGUUUGCUUGAUCAGGAUAGUUGAGUCUUUUCCUUGCUUCAAGAAAAAUCUAUAACAACCAUUGGUGAAUUCCUACAAUCCUGUCUACUGAAACUAUGUAUUGUCUCUAAUGUUCUUUUAACUUAUUUUCUUAUUCCCUUUAAUGAUGUGAUCAAUCUUCUAUACAUCUGAUAAUCUGAGAAAGUUCGUUGAAGAUAACAAUACAUAAAUAACAACCACUGUUAAUCCCUAUCAUUUGGUUUGGAACCCCAUAUCAUUUUUAAUGUCCUUGCUUUGUUUUGUUUGUAUUUUGCUAUUCCUUUUUUUUGUACUAUUUUCUUUAAAAUAAAAAAUUUUAAAAAAUAAAAUUGAAGUAAUUUUCAUGUCUAUUCGCAGGCCUACGCCUUGUUAU
RNAcentral lists this long non-coding RNA (2952 nucleotides) under Chinchilla lanigera (long-tailed chinchilla). RNAcentral's name for it is "lncRNA (ENSCLAG00000028736.1)". The record is from RNAcentral. Lineage: Eukaryota; Metazoa; Chordata; Mammalia; Rodentia; Chinchillidae.